GACAGAGGGGGCAAGCGUUGCUCGGAAUCACUGGGCGUAAAGGGCGCGUAGGCGGGAUGGCAAGUCAGUCGUGAAAUCUCUCGGCUCAACCGAGAAACGUCGGCUGAUACUGCCGUUCUUGAGGGAUGCAGAGGAGACUGGAAUUCCCGGUGUAGCGGUGAAAUGUGUAGAUAUCGGGAGGAAUACCGAUGGCGAAGGCAGGUCUCUGGGCUAUAACUGACGCUCAUGCACGAAAGCGUGGGGAGCAAACAGG
Molecule: ribosomal RNA, 253 nt
Filed under: uncultured bacterium
Lineage: Bacteria
Description: partial 16S ribosomal RNA
Rfam family: Bacterial small subunit ribosomal RNA
Source: RNAcentral